RNAcentral lists this ribosomal RNA (281 nucleotides) under Pelobates cultripes (western spadefoot toad). RNAcentral describes it as "SSU_rRNA_microsporidia". It matches the Rfam family "Eukaryotic small subunit ribosomal RNA", at positions 185 to 466 of the family's 1831-position model. The record is from RNAcentral. Lineage: Eukaryota; Metazoa; Chordata; Amphibia; Anura; Pelobatidae.
GAGGUAGCCGACACAGAGAUUAUAUAUAGCUGUUGACAUUAGUUGCCCAGGCACUUUGUUGACUCUAGAGAACCUCGGGCCAAUCGCACAUCCCCGUGACGGCGACUUUGCACUCGGAUGUCAUCCAUAUCAAAUUUCAGUGCCAGUUUCUGCGCCUACCAUGGUGACCACGGGUAACGAGGAAUCAGGGUUCCAUUCCGUACAGGGACCCUGAGAAACGGCUACCACAUGCAAGGAAGGCAGCAGGUGCGCAAAUGACCCACUCCCGAUGCGGGGAUGUA